This 468-nucleotide ribosomal RNA is filed under the name uncultured bacterium. RNAcentral describes it as "partial 16S ribosomal RNA". It matches the Rfam family "Bacterial small subunit ribosomal RNA", at positions 28 to 507 of the family's 1533-position model. The record is from RNAcentral.
GACGAACGCUGGCGGCGUGCUUAACACAUGCAAGUCGAACGGAAAGGCCCUGCUUUUGUGGGGUGCUCGAGUGGCGAACGGGUGAGUAACACGUGAGUAACCUGCCCUUGACUUUGGGAUAACUUCAGGCAACUGGGGCUAAUACCGGCUAGGAGCUCCUGCUGCAUGGUGGGGGUUGGAAAGUUUCGGCGGUUGGGGAUGGACUCGCGGCUUAUCAGCUUGUUGGUGGGGUAGUGGCUUACCAAGGCUUUGACGGGUAGCCGGCCUGAGAGGGUGACCGGCCCCAUUGGGACUGAGAUACGGCACAGCCUCCUACGGGAGGCAGCAGUGGGGAAUAUUGCACAAUGGGCGGAAGCCUGAUGCAGCAACGCCGCGUGCGGGAUGACGGCCUUCCGGUUGUAAACCGCUUUCGCCUGUGACGAAGCGUGAGUGACGGUAAUGGGUAAAGAAGCACCGGCUAACUACGUG